Non-coding RNA from Phalacrocorax carbo (great cormorant), 1332 nucleotides. The record is from RefSeq and is a predicted model, not a curated record. NCBI's taxonomy places the organism in Eukaryota, Metazoa, Chordata, Aves, Suliformes, Phalacrocoracidae.
AGGCGGCGCCGCCGGGGCGGGCGGUACAUGUCGUCAGCCUGUUGUUCUCCGCGUGUUGGCCCCGCGGCCGCUGUCGUUCGGUGUUUUCUCCCAUUUCUGGUGCCAAAACCCGGUUUUAAGAGCUGCCUGAGGACACGGGCUGUGUCCCCUCGGUGGGAGUGGGGAAACGGCGGUGGGAGCGCGGCUGUGGGAGUGCGGCGGCUGAGGAGGCGGGCCCGGCAGCGCUUCUUGAGCCGUCCGGAGGCGGGCAGCGAGGCUGAUGAGGAGCGGCUGAGGGAGCUGGGGGUCUUUAGCCUGAAGAAAAGGAGGUUGAGGGGAGACCGUAGCGCUCUCUAUAACUACCUGAAAGGAGGCUGUAGCGAGUAUCACAUGUGGUGCAAUAACCGCAGCAGCUGCACAUCCAAAUAAAAGGAGAACUUCUCCAGUUCUUCAAAUCCUGUAGCGUUGUUUUUUGUCACCUCAGUGAAUCGAACCAGAUGUCGCACAUCUCCACGUGCGUUUGCUCCCGUUUUCAUCUGGUCGCGGUGAGACGCUGUGCCUGAGAUCUGCCGUACCUCCUGGAGAUGAAGCGCUGGACAGGACCUCCUGUGCUGUGUCCGAGCCUCCCAGGUUCCAGCAGUCGUGUGGAACAGAGUCCAGAAGCAUCUACAGAACUUCUGCUCUAGGUGACACCACAACCAAAGCUGUGGGAUGUUUCCCAAGGGAAAAACCUAAAUCCCAUAGUAAAUUAAAAAAGCCACGGUAAUAACAAGACCCAGGAAGUGAAAAGGAAAUAUUUGGGCACUGCCAGUUAUCCCGCGUCCUGCAGGAACAAAUGGCUCAUUGAGGAGCGCUCCUAGGAAGCACUGAGAGGACAGAAAAACAGCUAUUAAAAAAAAAAGUUAUUUCUAAAUCUUUUUUCCAGACUGAUGGAUCCGCUGGGCUUUGGAGGCAGUUGAUGCUUCCCCCUCCUCACCACUCCGUUGCACUUCAGAGGGGCCAGUUCCCGGCUUUCCCUGAUACUUUUGUGUUGUCAUAAUAUUUAAUCUCAAGCCUUAACUUUUGUAACAGGUGUUUUAAAUGACAAUUUAUAUUGUCCAAAGUGUUUGCUUUUAGAAAACUCAGGUAACUCUCAGGAAGCUUCUUCCUAGCGCACAGAAGCAGCUUGCUAAAGCUUCUCGCUUUGUCUUCUGUCUGACUGCAUUCUCUGUAUUUCUCCAGCUGCCCUCUAGUUUACUUUGUGGUUUACUGGAAUUUUUUUUCCUCUUCUUAUAGUGGACUCUCUCCUCUGGUGCUCUAUGUAGGAGCCAUGCAGACAGAGAAACUGAUUAAACAGAGAAACGCUGAAAAUAA